This 467-nucleotide ribosomal RNA is filed under the name uncultured bacterium. RNAcentral's name for it is "partial 16S ribosomal RNA". It matches the Rfam family "Bacterial small subunit ribosomal RNA", at positions 28 to 507 of the family's 1533-position model. The record is from RNAcentral.
GACGAACGCUGGCGGCGUGCUUAACACAUGCAAGUCGAACGGAAAGGCCUCUUUCGGGGGGUACUCGAGUGGCGAACGGGUGAGUAACACGUGAGUAACCUGCCCUUGACUUUGGGAUAACUUCAGGAAACUGGGGCUAAUACCGGAUAGGAGCUCCUGCUGCAUGGUGGGGGUUGGAAAGUUUCGGCGGUUGGGGAUGGACUCGCGGCUUAUCAGCUUGUUGGUGGGGUAGUGGCUUACCAAGGCUUUGACGGGUAGCCGGCCUGAGAGGGUGACCGGCCACAUUGGGACUGAGAUACGGCCCAGACUCCUACGGGAGGCAGCAGUGGGGAAUAUUGCACAAUGGGUGGAAGCCUGAUGCAGCAACGCCGUGUGCGGGAUGACGGCCUUCGGGUUGUAAACCGCUUUCGCUCAUGACGAAGCUUUGUGUGACGGUAGUGGGUAAAGAAGCACCGGCUAACUACGUA